AUCUUUGAUCUGGGUGAGAGAAACGCGUAUCGAUUUGGUUCAUGAUCAUGGCUCAUACUCUUCCCACCACUUACCAAUUAGAUUUGGAGAUGUUGUGUUGAGGUUUCAUCGAUACGGGUCGCUCUCACCUAGACUAAAGUUGC
Cajanus cajan (pigeon pea) is the source of this 143-nucleotide non-coding RNA. NCBI's taxonomy places the organism in Eukaryota, Viridiplantae, Streptophyta, Magnoliopsida, Fabales, Fabaceae. The record is from Rfam.